Devosia geojensis is the source of this 73-nucleotide transfer RNA. It matches the Rfam family "tRNA". Rfam says of the family: Transfer RNA (tRNA) molecules are approximately 80 nucleotides in length. Lineage: Bacteria; Pseudomonadati; Pseudomonadota; Alphaproteobacteria; Hyphomicrobiales; Devosiaceae. The record is from Rfam.
GGGGCUGUAGCUCAGUUGGGAGAGCGCAUCGUUCGCAAUGAUGAGGUCAGGGGUUCGAUUCCCCUCAGCUCCA